UCAAACUUGGUCAUUUAGAGGAAGUAAAAGUCGUAACAAGGUUUCCGUAGGUGAACCUGCGGAAGGAUCAUUACAAAUCCAUCGCGUCUCUCUCACCGAGACAACGUCUAACUGUUCCGAGCGUGAAGGCUUCGUUGUCGCCGGUGGCCUUGCGCCAGCGCGCGACGCGUGCCCGAUCGCCGUACUACACCCCCUUCUAAGCUGACGACCUGUUGCUUCAUAUGUAUGCUUCUAGCGCAUCAACGCAAGAAACAACUUAUAACAAUGGAUCUCUAGGCUCUUGCAUCGAUGAAGAACGCAGC
This 302-nucleotide unclassified non-coding RNA is filed under the name uncultured fungus. Its description in RNAcentral is "partial contains small subunit ribosomal RNA, internal transcribed spacer 1, and 5.8S ribosomal RNA". The stretch from base 1 to 73 matches the Rfam family "Eukaryotic small subunit ribosomal RNA", at positions 1759 to 1831 of the family's 1831-position model. The record is from RNAcentral. Lineage: Eukaryota; Fungi.